GACGAACGCUGGCGGCGUGCUUAACACAUGCAAGUCGAACGGAAAGGCCCUGCUUUUGUGGGGUGCUCGAGUGGCGAACGGGUGAGUAACACGUGAGUAACCUGCCCUUGACUUUGGGAUAACUUCAGGAAACUGGGGCUAAUACCGGAUAGGAGCUCCUGCUGCAUGGUGGGGGUUGGAAAGUUUCGGCGGUUGGGGAUGGACUCGCGGCUUAUCAGCUUGUUGGUGGGGUAGUGGCUUACCAAGGCUUUGACGGGUAGCCGGCCUGAGAGGGUGACCGGCCACAUUGGGACUGAGAGACGGACCAGACGCCUACGGGAGGCAGCAGUGGGGAAUAUUGCACAAUGGGCGGAAGCCUGAUGCAGAAACGCCGCGUGCGGGAUGACGGCCUUCGGGUUGUAAACCGCUUUCGCCUGUGACGAAGCGUGAGUGACGGUAAUGGGUAAAGAAGCACCGGCUAACUACGUG
Molecule: ribosomal RNA, 468 nt
Filed under: uncultured bacterium
Lineage: Bacteria
Description: partial 16S ribosomal RNA
Rfam family: Bacterial small subunit ribosomal RNA
Source: RNAcentral